CACUCAGCACUGCAGUGGCAUCCUAAAAGAUGCAGUAGUUUAUCCACCAGGUUUCUGAGCAGAACUAAUGAAGAAUGUUAACUCAGGAGACUCAGGAGUAAGGAUGAAGUGAAGAAAAGAAAGGGGGGAAAAUCCAUCAUGGGGUUGAUUUACUUAUUGGCUUUUAAGGAAAAAAAAAAAAAAAAUCAGAGAAUCAGAGACAAGGAAGAGCAAUGCCCUUGACCCAGACACCUGCAGGUAUGGAGCAUCUGGCCAGGUAUGGUCAGUCAGAACAACCCUCUGGAAGCAGGAAAUGAGUUGCUGAAUUAAUGACGUAAAUUCCAGAAGGGGUUUAGCUGUGCUGGUGUAGAACACACUCCGAAUUACAGCCUUGAGGCCCUUCUGAGUGCAAACACCAGCUCUGGCUGUGGGAGGGUGGGAUUUUCCCUACCCUGGGUGCACAUCUGGUCCUUUGUUCUGGACAAUGGGAAGGCUCCUUCCUCCCGCCCUUGCUGCUGUUCCUGGCUCUGUUUCUGGCCCUGUUCCCACUGGCUGAGCCCAGCCCCUGCCUCCUCUCAGGCUCCUCACACCCACCCUCCUCCCAGCAGCUGGGAGCAGUUGGAUUUUGGGAUGUGGUGGUGCCAGGUUGUGGCUUCUCAUUGCAGCAGGGAAGCUCAGGCCCGAGCACUUGGUAGAGAAGCAGAAAUAAAAGGUUUUGCUCUGUUGGCUGAUGGAUUGCCCAGUGUUAGAGCCCAAAUGGCCUCUCAAUGUCCCACCUGCACCCCUGGGAAUAUCAAGGACCUUGUUUCCUGCCUUCACACUGACACUUUCCUAAGUUAUUCUGGGGUUACAGGGUUUGGCAGCUGAAAAGGUCAAACGCUGACAGGCGUGCUGUCCCCAACGCUGUCCUUGGCUGGGCUUUAUUUCCCAACUCCAGCCCUGCUGCUCGUGUGAUGCUCCAGCACUGGUCUCUGCCAGGAGUCAGGAUCACCCCAGCCUUGCUGGAGCCUCCUGGGGAAUCACUGAAACAAAACUGUGGAAAGAAUCGAGCACCUGGAGUGUUUUAGGAGGGAGCCUGGGCUCUGAGGACAGCGCCUGGCUCGGUGUGGUUAGCCCCCUGCCCAGGCAGGGUGGGCAUAGCUAACAGCCUGUCUCAUUCGGACAGGUCUCUCCAUCCCUAAUCCCUUCCCUCCUCAUGUCCCAGGUAACAACAGGCUUUCAAUGAAAGUGAAAGUGAAAGGUGAAGUGUCUGUGGCAGGAAGCAAGAGAUUGAAAGUGUUAACAGAGCUUUAGGGUGGGUAAUAGCAGGAGAUUUGCGAGAAGGAUCUGGAAGAAAAGCCCCUUUUCAAAGGAAUUGUAUAAUCACUGGUAGCUCAGUGUUUCACGCUCAAGGAUUGCCUUCACGAUCUGCCAUCAGAGGAGAGGAUUUGCUGCUCUCUUCUGUAGAUGAGCACUAGAGAAACCCUUCCCACACUGCUUUUCUAAAUCUUCUUUGAAGGGAUGCUCCUCUCCUCCUAGCGAGUGGCAGGGCUGUGCCUGUUUUGUGACACACAUUUGCAGAAAUAAUCAGGAAUAAAAAGGGGAGCAGAAAGCACCUGCCAUGGGGGGAUGCCCCUCCAAACCCCAGUGUUCCCAGAGCCAGGGGCUGGGGAGAGAGGGCUGGGGGCUGCACUGGAGGGGAAACAUGCCCCACUUGUAGAUCUGUGGGGUGCUCAGCUGCAGGCAGAGCUCUUUUGGCAGCAGGAAGGAUAGAAAGGGUUUCAGUGGAAAUGAUCUUUAUUGGCAAGCACAGCUUUGCUGAAAUCAACCCAUUUAGUGGGAACAUGUAGGAAACUAUUGAUGGGAAGAAAAAUCGGAACCAUUCAUUUUGACCUUCAGAGGAUAAUUUUUUCUUCCAAAGCAUUUAAUUUCAACAAAUUGUUCCAUUUAGUUUUGAUUUUACCACUCAAAUUGAUGCCAUUUAAAUCUUCCACGUGUGUGAGCUGCUGGUUCCUGGCUGUACCCUGGCAGUGCUGGGCACCCACAGCAUCUUUCCAUGGCACAAAAAAGGGAAUCCUUCCUCAUCGACACUUCUGAAAGCCUUCUCCAGCAAAUUUGGGAUGGACAAGAGGAUUUGGAGAUGAAAACACAUCUGAAAGCAUCACAAUUUCCUGUGGAAGAGAAACUGUACUUUCCAAGCACUCUGAGUCAGUAGUGCAUAGCCUGACCCUCCCUGCUCAGCCUUUCUGAUCCAACCUCUCAGACAGCAAUAAACAUAUACAUUAGCCAAUUUAUUCCAUGUUUUGCAUUUGUAGGACACUUUUGAUAUAAAAAAGAGCUUAGCUUUAAAUUUGUGUGACCUUGACUUGCCUAAAGUUAAGCUGCUCUUUAAGUCUGUGUAGAAUUGGGACCUUGUUAGUGGUCCACACACCCCCACCAUGUCCUGCUGAUGUUCCCCUGGCAGGAGAGGGUGGUCUGGCAGCUGAUUGCAUUGAUCUGAGGUGGCAGCAGACCUGUGCCAAUGCCAGGUUUGUUUGUGUUCAUGUAGGAGUGGUGCUGGCUGCAGCACACAACGUUGCAGCCCCGUUCACCAGGGCUGGGACUUCUGCUGCUGUCUGGGAAUUUGCAACAAGGACAGCAACUGUUCCCUGCUUCCCUGCAGUGCUUUGUGCAGAUAAAAAGGUGUGUGAGGCUGCAGAGGCUGCGGGGGGCUCAUGGCCAGGUAAAGGUGUGUCCCUUCUCAUCCACACCUGGAUCCAAGGCCCCUCCUGGGUGGAUUUGCAGGGAGCUGGAGGGAGGGAUGCUCAGGGCUCAGCUGACUGCAGUGACAGGGCUCUCCUGGGCUCACCUUUAAAGCAACAGCAUUAUUUCAGAGACAUGUUCAAGGGCAAAUUCCCCGUGAGCACAGUGUGUGAGCGAGUGGGACCCAGUGAAGGAGGAAUUUGUCACCUUUGGGUGAUGCUGUGGAUGUUCCUCCUGCACACUGAGGUGAGGCUCCAGGCCUCUGCCCACCCAGCCCUGCCACCAGCAGCUGUAGGCCUGCAGAGACAACUCCCCAGGCUCCCUUUUUAACUCACUUGCUUUCAUUUAUAUUCAAAUCAGAGGAUAAAUGAAGGCAAUGCAUGCGCUCAGCUCAGGCAAGGCUGCUGCUCCAAAGCAACCACAGAGAAGGUGUUUUAUUUUUAAAAUAGAUAAAGGAAGAGAUGAAGACAGGGAGUUCUGCAUUCUCACUAUCACCUUCUUGUUGCUAAUGUUGGCCUGGUCAUGAAAACAGAAAGAUUUGUAAAAAUUGUUUGUUUUCCAACACACAGGCUGUUUACUUGGCUCCAGCAGGGCAAAUAAAGCCUAGGCUUCUGCUCGUGCUUUAAGUCAGUUCCUGUGUCCAUGACCAGGUUUGUAGAGAUGCUCCUGGGGAUUUCAGCUUCCAAUCAGUCUUUAUUUGAUGAUUUAAAUAAAUGAUAAAUAUGCAUGUGGAACAAUGAAAAUAUUCUUGGAAGAAGUGCAGCCUAAAGAAUAUAUUGAUCUCCCUUGAAUCAGGGCUCUGCAAAGGGAGAGGCACCCUGCUCAGGGGCAAGCCCUGCCAAACCCCACCGAGGCAGGCUCUUAAAUGAAGGUGGAAAAGAUCCCAGCAUGGUGUGUGUCUGUCUCACAGGCCAUGUGCCCUGAAAAGGCACAUGGGAUCUCACUAACAACCCUCUGCAUUUAGAGCAGGAUUUUGCCCCAACAGAUGAUCCUGACGUUCUUAAAAGUGACGGUGCCCUUUUGCAGUGUGUUUUAAGCACAUGUGUGCUGACACCUCCAUGUGUUGACCAGGCUGGACUCAGCCUUGUGCCUCAGUCCCUACGGCAGAGCUGUGCUGCCUUGUCUUUUCCUGGCUUUGCCCACCUCAGAGCACACAGAACUGUCAAAACCUACUUAAUACACAUUGACUUAAUGGGAGUUGUGCAGCAAAGUGCUGCUGGGUGCUUGGAAGGCAAAGUCUGUGCAGAGGAUUCAUUACUCCUGGAUUGUAAUUAAUGAUAAUUAAAGAAAAAAAAAAAAAAAAGAGAGAAGGUUUUGUAUUGAGAGUUAUGCUGGAUGUCAGAAUUAACAUCUCAUUGAAUUAUCAAAGCUUUCAAGCAGUAGGUGGUGGAGAGUGGCUUGGGGCUUGCAAAUAGGUCAGAGAAAGAGCUGGUUGCUGGAUAUCUGAUAGAAACUUUCCACUGGGGAAGAAAAUCUUGCUGAUUUGAUGGAAUAAGAACAAUUCUUGGGAGGAUAUCUAUUCCCUUAAAACGUAUGGAAAAAGCAGGCAUGGAGGCUGGGCUGCCUGCAUACGACCUGGGCUCUGUGGCUUGAUCCCUGGGGAUCCCUCCUGCUCACAUAUGCAUUAUUCCCCUUCUCACUGCAAAAUGAGAACACAAAAAGAAGAGAAGCGUGAACAUUUUGGUGGCAUGGUGCCAGCCAGGUUU
RNAcentral lists this long non-coding RNA (4406 nucleotides) under Taeniopygia guttata (zebra finch). RNAcentral's name for it is "lncRNA (ENSTGUG00000028503.1)". The record is from RNAcentral. Lineage: Eukaryota; Metazoa; Chordata; Aves; Passeriformes; Estrildidae.